AACAUUGGAAAAUGUGGGCAAUCCUGAUCCAGCCAUGCAGCGUGUGUUAAGAAGGUCUUCGGAGUGUAAAGCACUUUACGUUGGGAGAAAGGGCCUUAGGUUAAUACUCUUACGUUUUGUCGUUACCGACAGAAUAAGCACCGGCUAACUCUGUGCCAGCAGCCGCGGUAACACAUAGGGUGCAAGCUUUAAUCGGAAUUACUGGGCGUAAAGCGCGCGUAGGUGGUUCAGUAAGAUGGGUGUGAAAUCCCCGGGCUUAACCUGGGAACUGCUUUCAUAACUGCUGAGCUAGAGUACGGUAGAGGGUAGUGGAAUUUCCUGUGUAGCGGUGAAAUGCGUAGAUAUAGGAAGGAACACCAGUGGCGAAGGCGACUACCUGGACUGAUACUGACACUGAGGUGCGAAAGCGUGGGGAGCAAAC
Molecule: ribosomal RNA, 421 nt
Filed under: uncultured bacterium
Lineage: Bacteria
Description: partial 16S ribosomal RNA
Rfam family: Bacterial small subunit ribosomal RNA
Source: RNAcentral